UCUAUUCGAAGCUACGUGCAGCGCUCCAAGGAUGCCCGCAAUCUGCUAAGUUCAUAAACAUACAGGUCGCCUUAAGUUGUUGAACAGCCAUGAAUGCAGGAAAAUCGUUCGAAAGGAUAUGCACCCGAUUACGAUACGAAGAGUACUGCACAAGGUCAAAUACAAAGUGUGUGUGGCUAGACGAAAACCAUGCAUCAAAGGUGCUUAUAAAAAGAAGCGUUUGGACUACGCUAAG
Long non-coding RNA from Drosophila arizonae, 235 nucleotides. Lineage: Eukaryota; Metazoa; Arthropoda; Insecta; Diptera; Drosophilidae. The record is from RefSeq and is a predicted model, not a curated record.